Molecule: unclassified non-coding RNA, 349 nt
Filed under: soil metagenome
Description: partial contains 5.8S ribosomal RNA, internal transcribed spacer 2, and large subunit ribosomal RNA
Rfam family: 5.8S ribosomal RNA (bases 1-119)
Source: RNAcentral
GAUGAAGAACGUAGCGAAAUGCGAUAAGUAAUGCGAAUUGCAGAAUCCGUGAGUCAUCGAAUCUUUGAACGCACAUUGCGCCCUCUGGUAUUCCGGAGGGCAUGCCUGUUCGAGCGUCAUUAUCACCCCUCAAGCCCGGCUUGUUGUUGGAUGCAGCGCUUAUCCCGCUCCUCCCAAAGAUAAUGACGGCGUCUGCGACGACUCCUGUACACUGAGCUUUCGGGCACGUACACGGCUAGAAGUCCAGACCCGGUCGCCGUCCCCCCCGCGGGGACACCCAUUACCACAAGGUUGACCUCGGAUCAGGUAGGAAUAUCCGCUGAACUUAAGCAUAUCAAUAAGCGGAGGA